This 822-nucleotide ribosomal RNA is filed under the name uncultured archaeon. RNAcentral describes it as "bacterial SSU rRNA". It matches the Rfam family "Archaeal small subunit ribosomal RNA", at positions 31 to 861 of the family's 1478-position model. The record is from RNAcentral.
AUUUGGGAUUCUGACCAGCCUGCGAGUCGAGAGGUUCGGCCCUCGGCUGACGGCUCAGUAACACGUGGAUAAUCUGCCCUAAGGUGGAGGAUGACCUCGGGAAACUGAGAAUAAUACUCCAUAGGUCUAGGAUGCUGGAAUGCACUUAGGCUUAAAACUUCGGUGCCUUAGGAUGAGUCUGCGGACUAUCAGGUUGUAGUCAGGGUAAAGACCUGACUAGCCUACGACGGAUACGGGUUGUGAGAGCAAUAACCCGGAGAUGAUAUCUGAGACACGAUAUCAGGCCCUACGGGGCGCAGCAGGCGCGAAAACUUCGCACUGCGCGAAAGCGCGACGAGGGAAUCCCAAGUGUAUGCACGUAAGUGUAUACUGUUUCUCUGUCUAAAAAGCAGAGAGAGUAAGAGCUGGGUAAGACGGGUGCCAGCCGCCGCGGUAAUACCUGCAGCUCUAGUGGUGAUCGUUAUUAUUGGGCCUAAAACGUCCGUAGCCGGUCUUCUAAAUGCCUGGGUAAAUCGUAUGGCUUAACCAUACGAAUUCUGGGUAGACUGUUAGACUUGAGACCGGGAGAGGCUAGAGGUACUCCUGGGGUAGAGGUGAAAUUCUGUAAUCCUAGGGGGACGACCAGUGGCGAAGGCGUCUAGCUAGAACGGGUCUGACGGUGAGGGACGAAGCCCUGGGGCGCAAACGGGAUUAGAUACCCCGGUAGUCCAGGGUGUAAACGCUGCUUGCUUGAUGUUAGUCUGGCUCCGAGCCAGAUUAGUGUCGGAGAGAAGUUGUUAAGCAAGCUGCCUGGAAGUACGGCCGCAAGACUGAAACUUAAAG